This 598-nucleotide ribosomal RNA is filed under the name uncultured bacterium. RNAcentral's name for it is "bacterial SSU rRNA". It matches the Rfam family "Bacterial small subunit ribosomal RNA", at positions 24 to 595 of the family's 1533-position model. The record is from RNAcentral.
UCAGAGGAACGCUGGCGGCGUGCCUAACACAUGCAAGUCGGACGAGAAAGGCCGGGGAAACUUGGCCGAGUAAAGUGGCGCACGGGUGAGUAACGCGUGAGUGACCUAUCCUGGAGUCGGGGAUAACCUUGCGAAAGCGGGGCUAAUACCCGAUAAUACUCAAGCUGAGGUAAUCGGCUUGGGGAAAGCUGGCUUUUAAAUAAGCUAGUGCUCUAGGGUGGGCUCGCGUCCUAUCAGCUAGUUGGUAGGGUAAAGGCCUACCAAGGCUAAGACGGGUAGCUGGUCUGAGAGGAUGGCCAGCCACACUGGAACUGAGACACGGUCCAGACUCCUACGGGAGGCAGCAGUGAGGGUUAUUGCGCAAUGGCCGAAAGGCUGACGCAGCGACGCCGCGUGGGUGAGGAAGGCCUUCGGGUCGUAAAGCCCUGUCGGUGGGGAAGAAGGUCCCUAAGGUGAAUAAUCUUAGGGGGGGUGACGGUACCCACGGAGGAAGCACCGGCUAACUCCGUGCCAGCAGCCGCGGUAAUACGGAGGGUGCGAGCGUUACUCGGAAUCACUGGGCGUAAAGGGCGCGUAGGCGGUCUAGCAAGUCUGGUGU